Molecule: ribosomal RNA, 434 nt
Filed under: uncultured bacterium
Lineage: Bacteria
Description: partial 16S ribosomal RNA
Rfam family: Bacterial small subunit ribosomal RNA
Source: RNAcentral
GAACGAACGCUGGCGGCAUGCCUAACACAUGCAAGUCGAACGAGACCUUCGGGUCUAGUGGCGCACGGGUGCGUAACGCGUGGGAACCUGCCCUUAGGUUCGGAAUAACUCCCCGAAAGGGGUGCUAAUACCGGAUAAUGUCUUCGGACCAAAGAUUUAUCGCCUUUGGAUGGGCCCGCGUUGGAUUAGCUAGUUGGUAGGGUAAAAGCCUACCAAGGCGACGAUCCAUAGCUGGUCUGAGAGGAUGAUCAGCCACACUGAGACUGAGACACGGCCCAGACUCCUACGGGAGGUAGCAGUGGGGAAUAUUGGACAAUGGGCGAAAGCCUGAUCCAGCAAUGCCGCGUGAGUGAUGAAGGCCUUAGGGUUGUAAAGCUCUUUUACCCGGGAUGAUAAUGACAGUACCGGGAGAAUAAGCUCCGGCUAACUCCGUG